UGGGGAAUUUUGGACAAUGGGCGAAAGCCUGAUCCAGCAAUGCCGCGUGUGUGAAGAAGGCCUUCGGGUUGUAAAGCACUUUUGUCCGGAAAGAAAUCCUUGGCUCUAAUACAGUCGGGGGAUGACGGUACCGGAAGAAUAAGCACCGGCUAACUACGUGCCAGCAGCCGCGGUAAUACGUAGGGUGCAAGCGUUAAUCGGAAUUACUGGGCGUAAAGCGUGCGCAGGCGGUUUGCUAAGACCGAUGUGAAAUCCCCGGGCUCAACCUGGGAACUGCAUUGGUGACUGGCAGGCUAGAGUAUGGCAGAGGGGGGUAGAAUUCCACGUGUAGCAGUGAAAUGCGUAGAGAUGUGGAGGAAUACCGAUGGCGAAGGCAGCCCCCUGGGCCAAUACUGACGCUCAUGCACGAAAGCGUGGGGAGCAAACAGGAUUAGAUACCCUGGUAGUCCACGCCCUAAAACGAUAUCAACUAGUUGUUGGGGAUUCAUUUCCUUAGUAACGUAGCUAACGCGUGAAGUUGACCGCCUGGGGAGUACGGUCGCAAGAUUAAAACUUAAAGGAAUUGACGGGGUCAUAGCUGUUUCCU
RNAcentral lists this ribosomal RNA (586 nucleotides) under uncultured bacterium. Its description in RNAcentral is "partial 16S ribosomal RNA". It matches the Rfam family "Bacterial small subunit ribosomal RNA", at positions 355 to 1375 of the family's 1533-position model. The record is from RNAcentral.